Notothenia coriiceps (black rockcod) is the source of this 346-nucleotide long non-coding RNA. RefSeq lists it as uncharacterized. The record is from RefSeq and is a predicted model, not a curated record. The transcript has 3 exons. Lineage: Eukaryota; Metazoa; Chordata; Actinopteri; Perciformes; Nototheniidae.
GGGUCAGUUGAACAGAAUUUGUCUGUUGAGUUUACACUACACACUAGCCUUAUCAGUUGCUGCCUGUUCUUCUGCCUCCUGCUGACAGUCAGUAGCCGUUGUAUCGCUUGCUACUGUUCGAAUGCAAACGAAGUAACUUGAGGUUAGCUUUGCAACGAACUGACAACUUAAGGAGUAAAAUACAAGCAUCCCACUUGUUGAUCGUCUUCAUGGACUCUGUUCAGAAAUUGGCUUCAGGGUUUACUCUGGACCUGGGACCAUUGAAAGAACCUCUUGGGUUUAUCCGUGUCCUAGAAUGGGUAAUCUUGGCCUUUGACCUGUUUACUGAGUAAAGUCAUGCCGUAGC